This 477-nucleotide ribosomal RNA is filed under the name uncultured bacterium. Its description in RNAcentral is "partial 16S ribosomal RNA". It matches the Rfam family "Bacterial small subunit ribosomal RNA", at positions 28 to 507 of the family's 1533-position model. The record is from RNAcentral.
GAUGAACGCUGGCGGCGUGCCUAAUACAUGCAAGUCGAGCGAACAGACGAGGAGCUUGCUCCGCUGACGUUAGCGGCAGGCGGGUGUAUAACACGUGUAUAACCUACCUAUAAGACUGGGAUAACUUCGGGAAACCGGAGCUAAUCCCGGAUAAUAUAUUGAACCGCAUGGUUCAAUAGUGAAAUUCGGUUUUGCCGGCGGUUGUAGAUGGAUCCGCGCCUCAUUAGCGAGUUGGUGGGGUAGCGGACUACCAAGGCUACGAUGCGUAGCCGGCCUGAGAGGUGGAACGGCCACAUGGGGACGAAGGUACGGCCAAGACUCCUAAGGGAGGCAGAAGGGGGGAAUAUUGCAAAAGUGGCGGAAGCAUGAUGCAGCAACGCCGCGUGCGGGAUGACGGCCUUCGGGUUGUAAACAGCUUUCGCCGGUGCCGAAGCGGGAGUGACGGUAAUGGGUAAAGAAGCACCGGCUAACUACGUG